UUUGGAGGGCAAGUCUGGUGCCAGCAGCCGCGGUAAUUCCAGCUCCAAUAGCGUAUAUUAAAGUUGUUGCAGUUAAAAAGCUCGUAGUUGAACCUUGGGUCUGGCUGGCCGGUCCGCCUCACCGCGAGUACUGGUCCGGCUGGACCUUUCCUUCUGGGGAACCUCAUGGCCUUCACUGGCUGUGGGGGAACCAGACCUUAAUUA
RNAcentral lists this ribosomal RNA (204 nucleotides) under Glomeromycota sp. RNAcentral describes it as "partial small subunit ribosomal RNA". It matches the Rfam family "Eukaryotic small subunit ribosomal RNA", at positions 547 to 763 of the family's 1831-position model. The record is from RNAcentral. Lineage: Eukaryota; Fungi; Glomeromycota.